Molecule: ribosomal RNA, 61 nt
Filed under: Pseudomonadales bacterium GWC2_63_15
Lineage: Bacteria; Pseudomonadati; Pseudomonadota; Gammaproteobacteria; Pseudomonadales
Description: partial 23S ribosomal RNA
Source: RNAcentral
GGGGAUAACAGAGUAGUCGCACCUGAGCGUCCACAGCGACGGUGCGGUUCGCUACCUCGAU